This 498-nucleotide ribosomal RNA is filed under the name uncultured bacterium. RNAcentral's name for it is "partial 16S ribosomal RNA". It matches the Rfam family "Bacterial small subunit ribosomal RNA", at positions 29 to 523 of the family's 1533-position model. The record is from RNAcentral.
AUUGAACGCUGGCGGCAUGCCUUACACAUGCAAGCCGAACGGUAACGCGGGGCAACCUGGCGACGAGUGGCGAACGGGUGAGUAAUGCAUCGGAACGUGCCCAGAAGUGGGGGAUAGCCCGGCGAAAGCCGGAUUAAUACCGCAUGAGACCUGAGGGUGAAAGCGGGGGAUCGCAAGACCUCGCGCUUUUGGAGCGGCCGAUGUCAGAUUAGCCAGUUGGUGGGGUAAAGGCCUACCAAGGCGACUAUCUGUAGAUGGUCUGAGAGGACGACCAGCCAGGCUGGAACUGAGGCACGGCCCAGACGCCUACGGCAGGCAUCCGUGGGGAAGAGUGGACAAUGGGCGCAAGCCUGAUCCAGCCAUGCCGCGUGCGGGAAGAAGGCCUUCGGGUUGUAAACCGCUUUUGUCAGGGAAGAAACGCUCUGGGCUGAUACCCUGGGGUAAUGACGGUACCUGAAGAAUAAGCACCGGCUAACUGCGUGCCAGCAGCCGCUGUAA